RNAcentral lists this unclassified non-coding RNA (217 nucleotides) under Basidiomycota sp. Its description in RNAcentral is "partial contains small subunit ribosomal RNA, internal transcribed spacer 1, and 5.8S ribosomal RNA". The stretch from base 1 to 47 matches the Rfam family "Eukaryotic small subunit ribosomal RNA", at positions 1785 to 1831 of the family's 1831-position model. Lineage: Eukaryota; Fungi; Basidiomycota. The record is from RNAcentral.
AAAGUCGUAACAAGGUUUCCGUAGGUGAACCUGCGGAAGGAUCAUUACAAGGUUAUUAACAAGGUUGGAGCAUUACCUAUUCGGGUUGGCAAAGACCUUGAAAAAUACACCUAAUGUGAAUUUGUAUAACUCAAAUCUUAGACAUCUUAUUUUAUAUGCUCAUUGAGUAAUAAUAUAUAAUCUAAAACAACUUUUAACAACGGAUCUCUUGGCUCUC